RNAcentral lists this ribosomal RNA (303 nucleotides) under Triticum aestivum (bread wheat). RNAcentral's name for it is "partial small subunit ribosomal RNA". The record is from RNAcentral. Lineage: Eukaryota; Viridiplantae; Streptophyta; Magnoliopsida; Poales; Poaceae.
AUGCCGGUGCAAGAAGAAGAACAUGAGGACGGCUCCGGUGACCCAAUGCCGGUGCAAGAAGGAGACCGUGAUGACGCCUCCGGUGACCGAACCGAGUCCGGCCAGCCCUCCGGAUCGAGCACAACUUCGGUAAAGAGGCGUGGCCCAAAGAAAAAGUUGAGCUCGGAUGAAAGGUUUGAGAUCAUAGCAAUCGCGCCCGACGGCCAACCGAUUGAACCCAUCCGAACAAAGAACACAUUUGUUGCUCAGUGCGGGGUUCUGGUUAGGGACAAGAUCCCGAUCAGCAUCCAACAAUGGUUUUAG